RNAcentral lists this long non-coding RNA (240 nucleotides) under Brassica napus (rape). RNAcentral's name for it is "long non-coding RNA (BNAP_LNC019727)". Lineage: Eukaryota; Viridiplantae; Streptophyta; Magnoliopsida; Brassicales; Brassicaceae. The record is from RNAcentral.
AGCAGACCUACAUUAUUGAGUUUGAGAGGUUUCAUGGAUGUCAACAUUGUAUCGUAUUGGGAUUCGAAGUUCACGUCUACAUUUUUGGAGCCAUUCAUAAGGAACUUGGGACAAAGAUCCACAGGAAUACAACUUAUUAUCAUCAUACAGAUGGUUAGUCAAAGAGGACUAUUCAGACUUAGGGGACAUGCUCAGGGAUUACGUCUUAUAAUGGGAUGGAAGAUCGGAAAGCAUUACAUC